CCUCCCUUAUUAAUUAAUUCAUCACCGUCGUCUCCGUCUCCAAUUCUGUCUAUCGAAGCUGCUUUGAAUCGCAGCUAACCGAUCGCUGCUCUGAGUCGCGUGUGGAUUCCGCCAUUCGAUUUUAGAGAUCGUGUUACGCCUGUGCUGUUCCUUUCUGCUUCUGAAACGAGCGAUCGAUGUCUUGUUUCGUUCGUCGUCCAAUUGGAGUGAGUUAGUGAGUGGCGCUACGCCCUGCCUUCAGAGGCAGCGAUCUCCGAUGGCAGCGGUUGGGGUUAUAUCCUGAUUUUCCAACGGAAAAGUGCUCAGCACUUCAUCAGGCACGCUCUUGAAGAAGAUAGGAGUUCCGUGAGAAACCCCUAAAGAAUGUACUAGCACAAUGACGUACAGUACCAUUAGUGUUAGUGGGAAGGACAAUGUUCAGACAUGAUGCUUCACUUUUACCAGGCUCCAUAGAUCAGAAUAAAUGAUCUAUAAUUCUAUAUAGUGUUAAAUCAUGGGAAAUGGAAAUCACAUAGUCAGAACAUGAACAUGGAUGCGACACCGUUGAACACUUGAACUACCGGACCUGGCCACGAGCUGUUGGCUACAUUGAACACACCAUAAUCUCGAGCAGGUCUGCCGCCUGGUGCAAUUUUAGUGGUUCCACUAGAAACACAGGCGCGGCCGUUGCCGCGCCCAUUUUGAGUCCGCCAGUGUACUUCAUAAUUCUUUUGUCAGGUUAAUUCAAUCUUUAAUGGAGAACUGUGAUUGUACUUUGUCAGGAAAGACCAUGUGAAAUAUCAUAAUAAGACAAGCAAUAUUGUUUGCAUAAGAAUCUAGGCUCAAGCAAAUAAUAAGAUCGUAUUUUGGAGAAGUGCCUACUAAGGGGGUGUUUGGAUACGAGGUACUAAACUUUAGGAGGGUCACAUCGGAUGUUCGAACACUAAUUAGGAGGAUUAAACAUGAGCUAAUUAUAAAACUAACUGCAGAACCCAUGUACUAAUCCGCGAGACGAAUCUAUUAAGCCUAAUUAAUCCAUCAUUAGCAACUGGUUACUGUAGCACCACAUUGUCAAAUCAUGGACUAAUUAGACUUAAUAGAUUCGUCUCGCAAAUUAGACUCCAUCUGUGUAAUUAGUUUUAUAAUUAGACUAUAUUUAAUACUUCUAAUUAGUAUCCAAACAUCCAAUAUGACAGGUACUAAAGUUUAGGAGGUGUUACCCAAACACCCCCUAAAUUUGAAGAGAUGCAGAUGUAUGCGCAUAUAUGCUUUUUUUUAAUUAGGAAAAUAUCCGAUCUUGAAGAUUCACAUGUGAAUGUCUAUGACCAUAAAGCGACAAAUUUGACCACAUAGCUAGAAAUUACACGAGUACUUAGACUCAAACCUCAAACCAAGAAACACAAAAGACAAGAAAGAAAGAAAUUAAGAAAUAAAGCUUGAAAGACUAAGCUUUGAACUUCUUUUAGGUUCUUCCUUCAACCUUGCUUUGGUCCUUAUGCAGUCACAAAACACCUCACAUCACCUAUCUUCUUAGAAACUUUUGAUGUUAGGAUCGUCGAGGGUCAUGUGCUACCUGGUAAUCCUUGUCGUCUAGAAACUACAUUGAGUCGAUCUCUGCCACGAAAACAAAUCGAACACCGCCAUCGCUCCAAGCUGACCAUGGUGUCGUCAUCAAGGACUUCAAGAUGACGCCUCAAGAGGAAAGCACCAUCAAGAUAUUGCCGUCGCCCGAACCAGUGAGUCGGUUCUUUGAUUUUCACCUGGAUCUGUCCCUGAAUGGUUGAGGUCCUCACGACAACACCUUCGAGAAGGAAAACGAUGCCCACGGCACCAUCGUCACCGGCAAACGGUCGAGGACCGAGCCAGGCUUUCGCCCGAGAACCUGCACACCCAAGAAAAGCACUGCAUGGCCACCGCCGACCAGGGGGUCGCACCACCAGAUCCUGGCAAUCGGAGGCGAGGACCCCCCACGGCGCCGGCCACAAGCCGAAGAUGCUGGCUCCGGCGUGCCACCGCUCUGCCGCGGGCCGCUGCCGCCGCCCUGCC
Molecule: long non-coding RNA, 2025 nt
Filed under: Setaria italica (foxtail millet)
Lineage: Eukaryota; Viridiplantae; Streptophyta; Magnoliopsida; Poales; Poaceae
Description: long non-coding RNA (SITA_LNC006535)
Source: RNAcentral